This 515-nucleotide ribosomal RNA is filed under the name uncultured bacterium. RNAcentral describes it as "partial 16S ribosomal RNA". It matches the Rfam family "Bacterial small subunit ribosomal RNA", at positions 28 to 523 of the family's 1533-position model. The record is from RNAcentral.
GAUGAACGCUGGCGGCGUGCCUAAUACAUGCAAGUCGAGCGAAUGGAUUAAGAGCUUGCUCUUAUGAAGUUAGCGGCGGACGGGUGAGUAACACGUGGGUAACCUGCCCAUAAGACUGGGAUAACUCCGGGAAACCGGGGCUAAUACCGGAUAACAUUUUGAACCGCAUGGUUCGAAAUUGAAAGGCGGCUUCGGCUGUCACUUAUGGAUGGACCCGCGUCGCAUUAGCUAGUUGGUGAGGUAACGGCUCACCAAGGCAACGAUGCGUAGCCGAGCUGGGAGGGUGAGCGGCCACACCGGGACUGAGACACGGCCCAGACGCCUACGGGAGGGAGCAGUAGGGAAUCUUCCGAAAUGGACGAAAGUCUGACGGAGCAACGCCGCGUGAGUGAUGAAGGCUUUCGGGUCGUAAAACUCUGUUGUUAGGGAAGAACAAGUGCUAGUUGAAUAAGCUGGCACCUUGACGGUACCUAACCAGAAAGCCACGGCUAACUACGUGCCAGCCGCCGCAGUAA